UGGUUUCUUCAUGUAUACAAAAAUCAUUCCAGUUAACCGAGACAACAUUCAAGACUUUGGAUUGGAUGGCACGAACACUAUGCUUCACCCUCCCUUUUUCAAUGCUUGCUUAUCCUUUUUACAUGUUGGCAGCAUCUGUUGAAGUUUUAAGGAAGGCGCAGUUGUGAUUGAAAAAUAGGGAAGCUUUGUGAAAUGUGAACGAGCCAUAUUGCAAUUUUAUGGGAAGAGGCGACCAUGGUGGUGGAGGUUUCUUCGUCGAUUAACUUCGUCUUUGUACCUGCUCUAGAUUCCAUUCGAUUUAGCGUUUUUUGUAGCUGGCGUUGGGUUAAUUAGGAUCGAUUGCCGAAUGUUUUUAUUAGGUGUUUUCGUGGCGUUAAAUACUGGUGCUUUUCUUUGCCGAAGGUUUGAGA
Molecule: long non-coding RNA, 410 nt
Filed under: Helianthus annuus (common sunflower)
Lineage: Eukaryota; Viridiplantae; Streptophyta; Magnoliopsida; Asterales; Asteraceae
Description: hypothetical non coding rna
Source: RNAcentral